GGUCAAAACAUAAUUAAUAAAUGUUGGACUUAUUUUUAUUUUUCUUGAGAUUUUUUUAUUCUGAGAUUUUAAAGGGAAAAUUGUGAUAUCUGUCAUGUGACAUGUAUUGUCACGUGGUGUGCUUUCAAGUUUCUACGUCAAAGCAGUUGGGCACCAUUGCUCCUUUCCCUUCUUUUUGGUACAAAAACUUUGGCUCCACUUAAUGCGUUUCGAACGGGAAUCGCAUGAACUUUGUCUGAUGUCGUAGUGGGCAAGUUAAGGCUUAAGAGUUUGAUUGGGGUUGCCCAUUUAUCUGGCGAAGUGUUGCCUGGACCAAACAAGAAGAAGAAGAAAAAAAAUCCAUUGUCCAUUUUAACUAAAAUUGUUGACUUAUGUUCAAAAGGUUGUUGACUUGUUGUUUGGGAAUAUUAAGUAUUGAUUGACAAAAAGUUCGAAACUUUAUAGCGCUUGUUUGAAAGUUUUUUCUUUAAAUGACUGAAAUCGUUUUAUGAAAAAAGGUUUUUAGUUCUAAAAAUAUUUGAAGUGUUUUCUUCAAAAAGCAUCGGUUAUGUGCUUUUUGUAAGAAACUGGUGCUUUUUAAAGAAACAUUUAAGUACUUUUUAAGGAUUCAUUAAAUUUUUACUAAAGAUUGGUUUCAAAAAUAUUUUCAUCAAAAAUGCUUUUGGUCAAUCUGUGAGUUGCAAAAUUAGUAAAAAUCAAUUUUAACAUCCUCAACAACCGGAAUCAAAGGAUAGGAAUCCGCCCUUCAGCAACCAACUGCCUGGACCAACCUGAUACAACUUGGUCCUCUCCCUGCUAAGAACUCAACGACAUGAAGUUCAGAACAUUCGCAUGCCAGAUUGUUCCCCAUAUAGUAGAGAUAGACCCCGACGAACAUAAAGAAAAUUUGUUAGAAUUCCUCUAUCCCACGUUGGCCAGAAGGUUUGAGAGCAAGUCCUUUAUAUAGAAUUACCUCAUUCUAACUAUCACUAAGGUAUUUUGUAUUAAAACCCCAUACCUGACGGAUUGAGCAAGUGGUCAAGUGGGGAUAGUAUCGGUGUUGUUGGAGUGGGCCCAUGACCCGUCUACUUGAAAUUUAACAAAUUCAACCCCAUUUCUGGUAAAAGUACUUUUUGCUAAAAGUGCUUAUUAAACCUUUUAUGCUGGUAAAACUAUAUUGAUAUGUUUUUCUGGGUUCUGGGUUGUUUCACAAGUUCCAUCGCUUUUCCAAAACUUGGAAUUAUGGGUUUUUCUGGUUUUAUGCAUGUGAAUUUUUCUAUGAGAUAGAAUAAGAGCAGGUUAUUUUCAAAUACAAUCGAAAAAAAUAAAAACCUAGUUGAAUUAGUUACUUCUUUUUAACUGGGAAAAUGAUUCCUUUCUGGCCUCUGUUCAUUUUUUCUAGGUAAAGGAUAACCAUAAUUUAACUAGGGAGCUGAUCUCUUUGUGCGGUUCAUUUAAAUUUUCCGCAGAGCAUUUUGCAAAAUCACAAAGGGCAGUGUCCACAAAGCAUUAACAUGAUAUUUCUAUUUGUGACAAGUAAAUCAGAAUUUACUUUUAUCAAUUUACUAAUUAAAAAUAAAUUUGAGGAUACAAGCAAUUGAGCCACCAUGUUCUACAUACAACUAUGGCCUUGCACAUCGUACAAGUAGAACUAAGGAAUCUAUGUUUUGUUCUGCAACUGCAAUUGGUACUUUGUUGAGCAGUAUUUUGAGCUCUCAUGAUUUUCAUCCGUUCUUUGUAUAGCAUAAGCGGAAAAAAGAAGAACAGAAGAAAAGAAUGAUACCACAUUGUUUGCUCGUAGAAUUCUUCAAUUUUGUGGCGAUUGUGUGCUUUAUCCUCAUUGUUGAUCAUUUUAACACAAGAAGGGAAAGGAAAAUAAAUUUACGACAAAACCAAUAUGCUUGAUAGUAAUAGGUUUUUUUUUUUUUUCCCUGAUGUGAUAGGUAUAGGGCUAACCAAAACUUGUAGCCAAACACUAUUUUAGCGCCAUAUAUAAGUGAUUUUUGGUAUUUUUUUCACCCCUUAUUUUCACAUCUGGUAGGGUUUUUUAUUUUAUUUUUUAUUGAUCGUGGAGGGGGUUUUGUUGUUUGUUUCACUUUCAAAAUCUGAUAGGGUUUUGUAAAAAUCGAGAAAUCUCAGGAGUGUAUAUGUAAUUAACUCAUUCAUUCUUCAUUAUAACCAUAAUCCACAGGUCCCACAUGCUACAAUUUUUCUCCAACAUUUCCAAAUCAUUGUCCUAGAGUAUUUGGUUUUGAAAGCCAGAGAUACCUUGUUGUAUUACAUUUACAUGUCUCAAUGGGUAACUCAGUGAUCCAAUCAAUACACGAAACAAGUCUCCUUCUUAUAUUUAUAUUUCAUUAAUCUCAUAAUUAGUGGUUUGUCCAAAUGAUUAGUUUUUCGAUUAAUAUCUUUCUAAAACUUUUAUCAUCCCUGUAAUAGUUUUAGGACACACAUCCAACACAGGACAUGACAUUAGUUUUUAGUACAUGGGUAAAAACCAUAGGUUCUCCAUAUAUAACUAGACAAUCCACUAGGACAAAUUAAACAUUCAAUAGAGGACUUCUCAAUCAAGCUCAAUUACCUAGAUACAACUAAGCAGCAAGUUGGAUACCUCUGUGCAACCUGCGAUUUCUUCUCAUCAACACUCAGUUCAUUCAUCACAAGCACGACAAUUUAUCAACUCGAACUAUUCAUAAGCACAGUGCUGAAUAUUUUUUCCUUCCUUUUCUCUCUUCCUUCUCGAUGCACUCUGGUUUCUCUUCUUCUCUUUCUCAAAUGCCCACUCCCUCUCUCUAAAAGUCCAUCUCUCUCUUCCUCCGAACCACUCACUGUAUUUUUUAGUUUGGAAGAGUCCUCAUCCUUAGCAGCAUUUUAGAUCAAGUUUUCACUACCCUCCAACCAUGUAGAGUUGCUGCACAAGUUUUCACUCACCUACCAUAACAUUGCAAAUUCAAAAGUUUUUACUCAUCUGUUGGUUCCACUUUUUAAAUAUUAAUUUCCUUUGUUUUGAUGUUAAUUGGAUUGUGGUUUGCCUUCAUCUUCUACACACCAACAUAUUCCUAACUCACAUAGAAACUCUAACUUAUAUAAUUAGAGCUGAUUUUGUCCUAAAGGUUUACCAUGUGAAGAUUGACAAGAGUACAAAUAAACUUAAAUCCACUGACCAUUCUUGGGUUGUGCUUCCUAAUAAUUUAUGUGUUCAGAAUGAAGGUUUACUAUGAGAAGAUUGACAAGAAUACAAAUAAUAUUAAUUUCAAACUUUCUUAAUGUUGCGUGCAUAUAUUUCGGUUAGGAGUUAGAUGUAUAUAUAUUUAUCACUUUUUACAUGUUUUAUAUGGUUCUAAAACCUGCAGCAUCGUGCGGGGGCACUUUCGCUAGUGACACUGCUUGAAAUCACCAUGAAACUAAAUUUAGAACUAUAAGAUAUGAAAUAUAUCAUGACGUACAGAUUCAAAACUACAACCCAAAACCCUAGUUUAUUUAAAUCGAUAUACACACAAGCACGCAGAUUUUGACGUUGUUAGCUUUAUUAAGUUUUAAUUGUAUUGUUAUCAAGAUGCUCUCAUCUUCGUAAAUCUCUCCAUAAUCUCCUAGAUUGCGUCAAGAAUAGAAAGUGGCGUUGGACAUGUCUUACUGUGCACUCCAAGUCGUUAAUUGUAAGUAAACUUUGUAUUGAUAUAUUAUACAUACAUACAUACAUACAUAUAUAUAUAUAUAUAUAUUGUGUAAUUGGGAAUGAAAUAAUAAAAAGGAAAUUAUUUUUGUUAAUGGUGUCAGAAACUGAUUAUUAACUAAUUAACCUGAAGUAGUCAAGAGUCGAGCAGACCUGCAAAGUCGAGCAAUCUUCUGCACACUCACUGUCCUAGAUACAACCUUUUGCUAAAACGUAUAGGAAAAUAGUUGUAAGGCUGUGCAAGAUCUAGCUGAACCAUUUGUUCCUUCUUGGUGGUAAUAUUCUUCAACUUCACUCUUUUACCUGCUCCAGACUCCACCACCAAAUUAACCAUCCAAUCUCCCUAAUCUUCCCACUACAAAAUCACAAUUAGUGGGAGAGAAAAACAGCAGAGAAAACUAUAUAUAAAUAGAGGCAAAUUGAACUCAUUACAAAAGAAAUCACACGUAAUUAUGAACAACAAGGAUAUCCCAUUCCAAUUAAUGGGGUUAAUCACUAGAUAUGAAAUAAGUCGAUUAGGGUUUAAGUUUAUACUGGAAAACGAAGAGAGUCACUGAGUCAGCAAAAGUGGAGGAGCAAUGCUUCAAAGUUCCCUCAGGCUUCCAACAUUUCCAUACUCGACGUUGAUCGAUCAUAGUACUGAUAUGGAAUAUUGGAAGCCCUUGAGGGAAGUUGAAACCUUCUCCAAAACUCAAUCUCACCAAACUUGACUACUUUCCAGUUGACACCAACCUUCACUGGAUGGGUUUAUAUAAUAAUACUGAGAAGUUGCUUUUGAAAAUUUAGAAGCUGACAAACGAAUCCGAUCUUUAACGAAUAUUAAUUUAUAGCUAGGUGUCUUUGUAAACGAAUAAGGAUCCUCUUGGCGAUCCGUGUAUCUUGUCCGUUCAUCGUACAUCAUGCUGUUAGAAAUCAUUUUAAAUUUUAUUAUUUAAAAUUAAAUACAAACAACAUCUAAGAAAAACUGAUCGCAUGAUAUACAAUGAACGGAUACGAUUUACGGAUUCCUAGGAUCUUCACAAAGAGGAUCUGGAUUCUUUGUAACCCUAAACCAAAUAUAAAAUAAAACAUGCAAAAAAAAAUUAAACCUUUGACUUUGCGACAGAUCGUGGAUACCGACUUCUUUUUAAUCAGUGUACCUAAAAUUGUUUGUUUGGAGAACAAAGAUAGACUUAUUCCCUCUCCCAAGGGUCGAGGGAAUUUUUUAUUUUUUUUAUUUUUCAUUUUUUGUACACACGCACACAUAGGAAAUGUCUAGUGUUUAAAAUUUUCAUGUGAUUCAAUUGAGGGUGGUGAAAUAAAUCUCAAAAUUUAAAAUCAUUUAACGGUAAUAAGUAAGGUGGUGAUCAUUUACCACUUAAGGGUAGUGAGCAUUUACCACUUAAGGGUAGUGAGCAGAAAUACACCCAAUAUAAUUAGGGAGGUGCUAGAUUGAUACUUUUUUUUUACCUUUCAUACAUCUUUCUCAAUUUUCCUGUCGGAUUGAAUGGAUUGAACAUGACUAAAGGACAAAAAUUAACAAAGAGUGUGAAAGGUAAAGUGGUUGUGUGGAUAGCACCACCGUUUAGUUAUUCAAGAACUUAUACUUUCAAAGUUUAGAUAUCUGAAAAACACAAUAAAAGAGAGCAUUGUGGCUUUCUCAUCCACCUAAGGGCUUCUCCAAUAAGAGAUGCAAAAUGCUUUUGCAAUGUGCAUUUUAUAUCUUUUCUUUGUUGGAAAAUUCUCCGAUGGCAAAAUGCAAAUUAUUCAUCUUCAACGAAAUAUGUAAAUAUAAACCUAAAUUUAUAUCCAGCAUAACAUUUGAGAAACGUCAAAGGUGUUUGUGUUACUUUCAAAAUCUGAGGGGGUUCUAUAAAAACCUGAGAAACCUCAGGGGAUGUAUGCAUAAUUAACCCGGCUAUGGAAUAAUAUGUUUGAUAUAUUAGAACACGAUGAAACUUACUAUAAUGAGUCAAUGACAUGACAUAAUCCUAAUCAAAACAUAUGUACAUGUUCUUGAAGUGUAUGUAGUUGUCCUCUGAAAUAGUUGUAAUAUCAAACUUGUCAUUUUUAUAUAGUUCCUGCUCAUGGCAAGGAAUGAAAUGAAAUGAAAAGGAGGUCAAACAACCGAAAUAACCUUGAACAUAAGGCAUAUAACUUAUUUUGAAUGAAAAAUUUAACGGAGUUAGAAUGAGAUAACAAAUUAAGGCCAUCUCCAACCAAAUGGGCUAUGUUUAGCCCUCGUCCAGAUUAUAACCCUGUAAGAAAUUGUUUUUUAAUGAACAUUGUCCAAAUGAAGGGUCUAUGUUUUAGCCCUCUUACUACUUUGUCUAUGUUUUAGCCCACUUACUACUUUAUUAUUUUAAGUUUGUUAUUUAAUUAUAUCAAUUAAUAUUUGAAUUAAACUACCAUAUUAAUAUAAGGUUUUCAGACAUAUUUUGAGGGUCACUUGUAGCUAAACGUUGUUUUAAGUUUCAUGUUAUUAAAAAUAUUUUAAUUUUACUUGCAUGCUAACAACUUAAAUAUUAAAAUGAGGUAAGAUAGUAUGGAAGGGUGAAAAGGAUGUGAGAAAUGGCUUAGGUAUUUAUAGGAAAAAAUUAGAUUUUUUUUUUAAUUUCUUCUUUAGAAAAAAAAAAAAAAAAAAAAGCCUACAUGGUGUCGGCUAGCAACACAGCUGGGCCUAACUUUCAAGGUUGGCUAUGUUUGCCCAGCCGUCUGGCCAUUUGGCUAUAUUUUGGCCUAGUGGGUCCCAAGUUUUUUUUGGCACAACCCUCCAUUCGAGAUGAAUUUUGUGUCAAAACAGGCUAUGUUUUGACCUAUAGCUCUUUGGCUGGCUCGGUUGAAGAUGGCAAAAUGAUUUUGAAAAGUUGAUAUUAUGAUAAUUUGCUUAAAAUUUUAGUUUAUAUGACAAAUUGAAAAAUGUGUAAGUUCAUUUGACAUUUCAAAAAGAUGUAAAAGUUAAUAUAUGACAUUUCAAAAAAAAAAAAAAUCUUAUUAGUUUAGUUAAUGCAUAUAAUUUUGAAGUAUGGAAUGAUAAAAUGUGAUACACAUAAAUGUAAUAUCUUGUAUUUUAUUGCAAAGAAAUUUAAGGUGAAGAGGUUUUUUUGUUAAGGAAAACUAAUGAAAAUGGUUUGAAAAUUUUGAGUUUAAUGAAAAUGACUUGAAAUUUUGAGUUUAACGAAAAUGACAAAAUAAAGGGUAAAGUGAAUUAUCACAUCCCGGCCUGGGCCCCUACCACAUCCCGGGCUCAACUCCGGCAUAGCACGAUAUUGUCUAUUUUGGGCCUCGACCACGCUCUCACGGUUUUGUUUCUGGGAACUCACACGAGAACUUUCCAAUGGGUCACCCAUCCUGGGAUUUCUCUCGUGCGAACUCGCUUAACUUCGGAAUUCCGAUGAACUCUGAAGCCAGUGAGCUCCCAAAAUGCCUUGUGCUAGGUAGAGAUGAAAAUAUACAUAUAAGGCUUACAUGAUCCACUUCCCUGGGCAAUGUGAGAUGUUACAAUCCACUCCCUUAGGGGCCCGACGUCCUCGUUGGCACACAACCGGCCAGGGAUUGACUCUGAUACCAAAUUGUCACAUCCCGACUUGGAUCCCCACCACAUCCCCGGCUCGACUCCGCCGUAGCACGAUAUUGUCCGCUUUGGGCCCGGCCACGCCCUCACGGUUUUGUUUCUGAGAACUCACACGACAACUUCUCAGUGGUUCACCCAUCCUGGGAUUGCUCUCGUGCGAACUCGCUUAACUUUGGAGUUCAGAUGAACUCUGAAGCCAGUGAGCUCCCAAAAGACCUCGUGCUAGGUAGAGAUGAGAAUAUACAUAUAAGGCUUACAAGAUCCACUACCCUGGACGAUGUGGGACGUUACAAAAUAGUAUCAUGAUUGACUUUUUAGUGUAAAAAUGUGAUUUUUCGUUAAAGUGAACAGCAUCGAGAAUUUUUCAUUAAAGUUCUCUUUUUUAAUCUUUUAUUUUUGGUCACGAUUUAUGCAUGCAACUUUAUCAAGUAUGUAGAAAUGCAGGAAGUAGUGCAGUGAGAAAGCCCAGUGGCAACCAUGCACCUGCUGCAGUAAAACUUGCUAUCUAAAAACUGUAAGUCAUGCUUUAACCUAAUAGGAAUUUAGUAUACGGAUGAAAAAAGUAAAUAGAUAAAAACAUGAAUCCUUAAAAUUUUCAGAAAUAUAGGUGGAUGAUUGGAAGGGCAUUAGAGAUGAAAGAAACUUAUCGAAUCUAAUGAGUUAUUGGAAUAAAUAAGUUUCUUUAAUGAGUAAUUACAUAAUUUUUUUUCGUUUCUUCAUCAGCACAACUUGAGUAUAAUGAAUUAUCGAAUCCAAUCUGAGACGCCAGAUAUAUCCACAAGGGUCCUAUGGUGUCCCACCCCCUUUAUAUCCAAAUGGUAUUCAUUCGACUGGUGAAGAGAGGAUAAUCGAAUGCGCUAAAUCUUCGUAAAAAGUACAAAGUUUUGAUUUGAUAUUGAAAUUAGUUCACCUUUUACAGCUUCUAAUUCUAUACGCAGGCCAGUUGUAGAGAUUUGAGAUAUAUGACUAUUUGUAAUACAUUGUGCUGAUAACGUUUGAAAAUGAAAUAAUUGAUUUCUAUACGUGAUUCGCAGUAUCAAAAAAAUCGACCGUUACAAUAUAAAAAUAUUGCUUUUAUGAUAAUUCGAGUUUGUUUGAUUCAUAUAGAUAACUAAAAGUCUUUAAGUCCACUGAAUUUUUCUAGAUGACAUUUAGAUAAUGAUUAAAAAAAUGAACAAUUUAGAUUAGGGAGUUUUAAAAAAACACUUCUGGUACUGUUCAAUUUUAACGAAAAACCACAUUUUACCUUUCUCUAAUGCUAUUCACUACACCUUUAUUUGUUAUUUUUCAUUAAAACUAAAGUUUUUUUGAAUUUUUUAUUAGUUUUUCUUUUAAAUUAUGAUACGGUAAAAUACUAUCACGAUGUCAUGUAAAGAUGUUCUCUUUAUAUGUAAGGAGUGAAUCAAUAUCUCUGGUUAAAUCAUUAUGUUAUGGUGGCAUACACUUUUAUUAAAAAGUGAUUCUUCUAUAGCUUGUCUCUCCGUACGGAUGACUUUAUUCCUCCAUGAUUAAUUGGUACGCAAUAGUUCCGCUAAGAUGAGCUUGCCUCCCUCAACAAUGAUGUGACAUGACUCCCUCCGCAGGUGGUUUUUGUUUCUUUACCUUCAAAUUUUCUUGGCAUGCCAUGUUUCUAAAUUUUAAAUUAAUGUAAAUCUCGAAUUACAAGUUAGUAUCAGUGUAUCACUCUUCUGAUAUGUGAUUUUCAUUUUAUCCCCAACAAGUGGUUUAAACACGUUGGCUACAAAGUCAACUUGCUAGUGGCCAUAAAGCCAAUUUUAUAUGAAACAUUUACUUAAUUAUACUCCACUUGCAGAUUCAAUCACACCAUAUAGCAGAGAGCAUCUCAGACUACUAAAAAAGAAUGUAAGGUCAUCUCCAACCGAUGACUGGUUAGGCCAUCUCCAACCGAUGGCUGGCCAGAUGGCUCGUUUUAGCCCUCUGGCCUCUAAGAUUCUUCAAGAUAUUAAUAUUUUAAUGAACAGUACAGGGUCAUAUUUGCCUCUGUCUCCAACCGAGGGCCAGAGGGUCAGAGGGCUCGUUUUAGCCCUUUUACAUAAAACCGUCUCCAACCGAGGGCCAAAAGGUCAUAGGGCCAAACAUAAGUUAUUAUUUAAAAACUACAACUUAAAUUCAAAUCCAACCACAAAGAGGUACCUACAACAAGAUCUUGUUGCACAUCUUUGGGCCCAAAGAAGCAUUGAGUAGGCACUUACGUUUUAUGUUUUUAAAUGUUUUUAAAAACGUUGUUUAAGUUUCAUGUUGUAUAAUUUUUAUGUUGGUUAAUCUUAUUUAAUGUUGUUUCAUAUUGUUUAAUGUUGUUUCAUGUUACUUAAUUUAAUUUAAUGUUGUAUAAUGGCUUAGGAAGUUAUAGGAAAAAUAAAUAGAAUUAAAAAAAAAUAUGAAACAAAUUUUGUGAAAUAGAAGUUAUAGAAAAAAAUGGAAUUUAAAAAAAAUAUGAAACAAAUUUUGUGAAAUAUAAGUUAUAGGAAAAAAAUGAAUGAAAUUAUUGAAAAAAUAUUGAAGGAAAUUAUUGAAAAAUUGAAACAAAUAUUAUAGAUGAAGGAAAUAUUGGAAAAUAUAUUGAAGGAAAUAUUGAGAAAUAUAUUGAAGGAAAUAUUGGAAAAUAUUGAAGAAGGAAAUAUUGGAAAAUAUAUUGAAGGAAAACCCAACGGCUAGCUGACUCAGCUAGCCGUUAUAUUAAAAAAAAAAUUCAAACUAUUAGUGUCGGUUAUAACCGACACUAAUAGUAAAAAAAAAAAAAAAUGCCUAUGAAUACCUAUUACUGCCGGUUAGAACCGACAAUAUUAAAAAAUCUUUCCUUAAUGUUGUCGGUUAUAACCGACAACAAUAGUAAAACUAUAAAAAAAAAAUAGCCAGCCAGCAUUCGGCCCUUUGGCCCUUUGAAAUUCCUUGGGGCCCUCCCAGAUUCCCGAGCCCUCUGGCCUAGCCCUCGGUUGGAAACGGUUUUAGGACUAUUUUCGGCCCUCUGGCCCUCUGGACCAUUCAGUUGGAGAUGGCCUUAGAGGGCUUGUUUUAGCCCUCUGACCCUCCAAGAUUCUCCAAGAUAUUAAUAUUUUAAUAAACAGUACAGUACCAUAUUUGCCUCCGUAUCCAACCGAGGGGUCAGAGGGCCAAAGGGCCAGAUGACUCGUUUUAGCCCUGUCACAAAAAACCGCCUCCAACCGAGGGCUAGAGGGUCAUAAGGCCAAACAUAAUUUAUUAUUUAAAAACUACAACUUAAUGUUGUUUCAUGUUACUUAAUUUAAUUUAAUGUUGUAUAAUGGCUUAGGAAUUUAUAGGAAAAAAUUAUAAUUUAAAAAAAAAUAUGAAACAAAUUUUGUGAAAUAGAAGUUAUAGGAAAAAAUAAAAUUUAAAAUAAAAUCGAACACAUUUUGUGAAAUAGAAGUUAUAGGAAAAAAAAAAGAAUUUAAAAUAAAAUGAAACAAAUUUUGUGAAAUAGAAGUUAUAGGAAAAAAUGGAAUUUUAAAAAAAUAUGAAACAAAUUUUGUAAAAUAAAAGUUAUAGGAAAAAAUAGAAGUUACAUGAAAAAUUUUGUAAAUAAAAAAUAAUAAUAAAAUUGUAAAAAAAAAAAUAUUCAAAUGCAAUGGCUAGCCGUUGCAUUUGAUUUUUUCCUUAAGAAAUCUUGUUGGUUAUAACUGUGGAUGCAAAUUUCCGCAUUCUUCUUCUUGGACAAAAUUGCACCUACAAAACAAUCAACACCUUUGGUCAAGGCCAAGAACCUCACACGCUCACGAUGAAUGGGGGGGGCUUUGGCCGAAGAACCUUCGAUGCCAAAAUUAGAAUUUAGCGAGAAAAUUUGUUUAGAGGAUUUUUGGGAGUUUUGCAAGAGUAUCAACUUUUUAGAAGAAAUAGGGUCAUAUAUAUAGGGAAUGGGGCAUGGCCGGCCUUUAAGUGUGUUUUGGGGUGUUAUUUGGUGAUUCAAUUAGUAAUUAAUAUAUUAAUUAGGUAUAAAUAUAUUAAUUGGCUAAUUAUCAUAAUAAAAGAAAUGUUUUGGGAUGUUUUUGGAGGUUAUGGAAUAAGGAUGGAUGAGACAAAUUUGAACUUGUUACCGAUUUUGGGUACUCCUGAUUUGGUUGAUGGAUGAUUCUCCACUGCUCGAGUGUAGGAGACCCGGUAUGCCUCGAGAGUAAAUUUGUCAUCUUCACCCAAAAAUCCACGUUUUGCUUUGUGAUUAUUUUUUGCUCCACAAAUGCCCCCACAUCUGCUGGGCUGCUCGUAGGAAAGUGCAGCAGGUGUAGAGGUCUUCUUGCUCUAGGAAACUUAGGACUGCUUCCUGUUUUGAUGUAGAUUCCCUCUUUAAUAUGAAAUUAGAUCCUUCUAGGAAAAUGAAAUAAAUUUCUCGCCUAUUCAAGUCCACCUUAAGUGGGUUAUUAAAUCAACUUUGGAGAGUGAUUUAUUCUACCCUACAAGAGAGAGAGAGCUUAGAGGAUAUUUGUUCCUCCUUCUCUAGCAAUCUUCUACAUCUUACCCGUACAAAUGACCGUCUUUCGUAGCUUUCUUCGUCUUCUCCGUGCCGCACCAAUGUAAUAAAAACUUAAUUUCUUCUUGUCUUUUUCUUAGGUGGUGCUGCCACGGGGCAAUCGUCGAGGUGGUGCGGCACGUCGGCUAGCAGGGGCCAGGAGUCGACUUGGCAUGGGCCAAUGAGGUGAUGUGGCAGGGGCCAUUGCUUGAGCAGCUUGGCUUAAUUCUAGCCAAGGAUUGGUUCGGCAUAGGGCGAGGAAAUGGCGUGGGAUAGGCAAUUGUUUGGGCUGCCACGUCUGGGCUGCCUGCUGAAAAUGAAGAAACUGUUUGAGUUUGAUUUUUCAGCAUUUGUUGCUUGGUUGAUUUUCAAGCAUUUGAUCUUUUGAACUAUGUGGCCUUCUUGCACUAAAGAGCUUACUCAGAUGGGCAUCAGGGAUUUAGUUUACCCUCUUGCACUAGAGAACAAUUAGUUUAUCAUUUCACACUGGAGAGCAAACCCAUAUGGGUGUCGGGGAAUUGGUUUACCCUCUCGAACUGGAGAGCAAUUAGUUUAUCCUCUCGCACUUGCGAGCAGACCCAUUUGGGUGUCGGGGAAUUGGUUUACCCUCUUGCACUGGAGAGCAAUUAGUUUAUCCUCUCACACUGGAGAGUGGACCCUUUUAGGUGUCGGGGAAUUGGUUUACCUUCUCCCACUGGAGAGCAAUUAGUUUAUCCUCUCGCACUGGAGUGCAGACCCUUUUGGGUGUCGGGGAAUUGGUUUACCCUCUCACACUGGAGAGCAAUUAGUUUAUCAUUUCGCAUUGGAGAGUAGACCUUUUUGAGGCUUAGUUGGCGCGAGAAAUUGCGCAAUCGCUUGGUCAUGAGCCUUUCUAUUUCUUCCUGAAUUUUCCUUUAUUGGGGUGGCAGAGCUCUCGACUGCCCCCGAUCGUGAUGUGUUGGUCUAAGCUGUUCUUCCAUAUGUUCGACUCAUCUAUGUCGCGGCUGCGGUGGGUGUGGUAUGUUCCUAGCAGGCGACCAUGUAACUCACAGGCUGCUGGUUGAACUUGAGCCGGAUUAAGUAACUGGUUCUUUCCGUCUGCUAUGCUGCCUGCUCCGAUGUAAUGUGGAGGAUACUUCUUACGGGCCUAGCCAUGAAUGAAUACUUCGCUUGGAAGGCUACUCAUGUUGAUUAUCAGAGUGCAUCAUCAACCGUGAGUGUAUGCUCGUCCGUGGGCCUAGUCGAUAGUGCACGCUCCUCUGCGCGCUAAGACGGGAGUAUACAUUAUCUUGGGGGCCCAAUCGGGAGUGUACUCUACCCAAACGCUCGGUUCGUGGAUGGUCGAGUCGCUGCUUGCUGGGAUGCUGCUGGAAAGGUUCUUUUUCUGCCUUUGUCCUACUUUGGGACACCUCGUUUGGGGCACAUUAUAUCUUGGUGCGCUGUAAGAGCUGGUUCACCAAGGUCGUUUGCUGUGCUAGGGCGUUUGUCAACUCUAUGACUUGUCGAGACAAGUGUUGUUCACCAUUUGGAUUGGAAGAGCUUGGAAGGAAUGUGCCUCCUUAAGCAAUGGAAAUGUGGUAGACUCCGGGCACGAGAUUUGAGUUGGGAAAUGUCAAAUCCGUAGAGAAAUGUGGUGAGAAUACCUCCGGUUCGAUCGUAAGCCCAAAAAUUUAAAACCGGGAUGGUUGAACUAAUCUUGGACCGAUUUGAGCUACGAGAGUGAGCUGCUCGUCGGGAGCAGGCUAGGCCACGAGAACGGGCUGCUCAGUUGGAGCACGCUGGGCCACGAGAGCAAGUUGUGCCACGGGAGUAGGCUGCUCGUCUGGAACAGGUUAGGCCAUGAGAGUGGGCUGCUCGUCGAGAACAGGCUAGGCCACGGGAGUAGGCUGCUCGUUGGGAGCAGGCUGCUCGACUUGUGAUGCUCGUGAAUGUGAGGCUUGAGCUCGGCUUGGCAACGCAUAGGGCUUGCGUUGGGCAUGGAGUGACAUGGCUCGGGCCGUAGUGGUGGAGUCAUGGACCUCGCCGUGGGUGAAUGCCAUGGUGGCCACCGUGGUGGUUGCCAUGGUUGAGCCUUGUGGUGGCGGUGCCGUUCCCCCUAAGAUCACAUUUAGUUUUGUGGAUCACCGCGGUCCCAUUUCUUGAAUAUUGGAAUUUUCACUUGUGGAAUUUUCUAAAUUUCUAGCCAUUGUAUUUCUCUUUCACGUUUUAUCAAAGAAUCUUUGCAAAUAAAAAUUUCUAAUAAUAAGAACGUACGAAAAAUACAAAUGGACUAGUAAAUAGAGAAAAUAGAGAAAAAACCUUUUUGUGCGAGAAUCUUCUACUAGUGUGAAUCUCAACUCUCAAUGAAAGCACCCAUUUGUGGAUGCAAAUUUCCGCCUUCUUCUUUUUGGACAAAAUUGCACCUACAAAACAAUCAACACCUUUGGUCAAGGUCAAGAACCUCACGCGCCCACGAUGAAUGAAUGGGGGCUUUGGUCCAAGAACCUUUGAUGCCAAAGUUAGAAUUUAGAGAGAAAAAGUGUUUAGAGGAUUUUUGGGAGUUUUGCAAGAGUAUCAACUUAGCUUUUUAGAAGAAAUAGGGUCAUAUAUAUAGGGAAUGGGGUGUGGCCGGCCUUUAAGUGUGUUUUGGUGUCACAGCCCGUCCCGGGAUUCUAUAUAUCGGAGACGUGAAAUGACGGAAUUACCCUUGACGGGUAUUAAGGUAUGUGUGUGUGUGACAUAUUAUUUGGACUAAAUACACAUAUUUCAUAAGCUUUUGGAAAAUUAUUAAGUUGGAUUAAAAUUGGGUUGUAAAUUUGUGUGGUUAAGGAAUGAUGUUGUGACUUGUUUUUGGGUGGACCACACAACACACACACGGGACUCCCCUUUCCUUUCCCCCGUGCCCUCUCUCUUUCUCUCCUUUCCGUUUCAGUCUCACUCUCUCCCUCUCGAAACCGUAUGGACGAGACCAAAUACCCUCGAACUUUCACGGAUCGACGCCAAAAAGGUAAGGUUCUUCAUCCUUUCGACCUCCUGAGUCGUUUGGUACUAGUUUUAGAACGAGAAACCUUCGAAAUCACGUGAAACCUGAACCCCAGUUUUAUGUCACUGUUCAUGCAUUCGUGAUAUGUUGAUUUUCAGGGAAUUCUAAGCUUAUAAUGAGCUUAGUGAGGUCCCAAGGAAGCUUGGAGUGCUUCGUUUGAAGGUUUUGGACGUCGGGAUCAUUGAGUUCGAAAUUGGCCGGUUUUCUUGGAAUUUCUCCGGUGAGAUUUUGUAGUUUUUAGAGCCUUAAAGUAGUGUAAUGUGAAACUACAUGCUUAGGGCUUCAUUUUGAUAUAAAAUAUGAAGAAAAUGGUUGAGAAAUGACGGAGAACAAGGAGAUUGAAAAAUCUCCAAUUUUCCGGCCACCGGAAAAACCAGUCCGACGAGCCCAAGGUAGGAGACGCACGUGGGGGGCGCGUGGACUCGUGCCUGUCCAGGCGCAUAGGGGCGCGUGCAGCCUCAGAAUUUUUUUCUAAAAAUUUCUCGACGUUCGUGACGUCGAGUAGGUCGAUGUGGUAUAUUCAUAUACCCAAUUUGAGCACCGUAUGAGAAGUUAUUACGAAUUGUUGGUUAUGUGCUUUAAAUAACGUUGUUUUAGUUGUUUCGCAUAUAGGUGACACCUAUCCCGAGGACGAGCGCAUCCAGGGACGUCACGGGGGUUACGACCCAUCAACGUACCAGUGAGUGGGCAGUUAUUUUCUGUAUUUACCUUUAUACUAUUGAUUUUCCCAGAAAUUAAAUUUAAAUGAAGGUAUGUUUUAAAAUGCCAUGCAUGCAUAUUGUGAAUUAUAUGAAUUGAUAUUUGAUGCAUAUAUAUAUGUGAAUUGGUGCUGUAGGCGCACAGGUGAGUAUCAGGUGAGUUUUAUGUUAUUCAUACGAUUUAUUAUAAUGUGAAUUGCGUUGAGAGCUCAUAACCUGCACCCUUGGUUUUAGUGCUUAAAUUAUUCACCGCACCGCACGCUCACCUUGGAUCCAAGUAGGUGCAUGUCGUACAGACAAUGUGAGGGUUCCGACAUGCUAGUCAUAUAGAUCACUAGAGGUGGUUCCGACUAGUAGGUGACCUUAGAUUAUGCGCGCAGAUGAUUGAUGAGAGAAGCACUAGAGCGUAUUCUUACACCUUUUUUAUCGUACAUACUACUUUAGGUAGUUUCGAUUUAUGUGCAGAGUAGUGCCGUACAGGUUACCGUGGUGACUCCGGCUGGGUUGGAUAUUGAGCUAUAGAAUGAACCGUACAUGACCAACUGCGGGGUCUCCGGUUGUUUCAUUAUAUCACCUGUUAUAUUGAUGCAUCCAUAUUCUGUCAUUGACAUUAUUGCAUGGCAUACUUGCUGGAUUUUGGUAAAGAUUAAUGUUUUGAGAGAUUUGAUCAAAUAUUAUGCUAUUAUGUUAUUUUCUGGGAAAGUAUACAAGUUUUACAGUGAGGGGUUAGAAAUGUUUUAAAUGAAAUGUUUUGGAAAACUUUGGUUUUACUGACCCACUCAAUUUUGUUUUGCACCCCUCCAGGUUCUAGUUAGCAGCGUUGGUGGCCCACGAGGAUCCCCACGACAUACUGACAGACUACCUAAAUGUAGGACUCACCUGCGGGUGUUGUAAUCUAGUUAUGGUCCUACUUGACUGCACCUAGUUCUUAGGCUUUGAAUAUGUGUGUUUCACACUUAAACUUAUUCUAGCACGUUACUUGGUUAUUCUACUAGUAUCUGGUUUUUAUUACUCGUAUGUUCUUAUCUAUUGCUUCCGCGUCGCACUUUUGGUUACGUUACGCUCACGUGACGGCCAGCAUGCCUUGAUUCUAGGAUCGGGGUGUGUCAUUUGGGGUGUUAUUUGGUGAUUCAAUUAGCAAUUAAUAUAUUAAUUAUGUAUAAAUAUAUUAAUUGGCUAAUUAUCAUAAUAAAAUAAAUGUUUUGGGAUGUUUUUGGAGGUUAUGGAAUGAGGAUGGAUGAGACAAAUUUGAACUUGUUACCUAUUUUGGGUACUCCUGAUUUGGUUGAUGGAUGAUUCUCCACUGCUCGAGUGUAGGAGACCCGGUAUGCCUCGAGGGUAAAUUUGUCAUUUUCAACAAAAAAUCCACGUGUCGCUUUGUGAUUAUUUUUUGCUCCACAAUAACCGACAAGAAAUCCGACACAUUUUAAAAAAUUCUGGCCAGCCCAGGGUUGGCUAGCUGGCUGGAAGUGGCCAACCUUCUAGCCCUUUGGCCCUUUCCGAUUCUGUGGGACCCUCUCAGAUUCCACAGCCCUCUGGCCUAGCCCUCGGUUGGAGAUAGUUUUCGAACUAUUUUCGACCAUCUGGUCCUCUGGACCCUUCAGUUGGAGAUGGCCUAAGGGAUGACCAAUAUAAGAUUGCAAACUUUUGGGAGCGGAUUAGACAUCCAAUGACCCAACUCAUUAGACGUGUUCAACUGUAAUUUGUUUAAUUAAUGUCAUUCACUGGUACUUGGAUCAAGGGAUUCAUUCUGACAGAUAAACCGUAAUUUGAGACUUAUCUGUAUUAAAAAGUUAGUUAUCCCUAUUGUCAAGUAAAUUUAUAAAAAAAUCAUAAGUACUGAACAAACUAAUAUAAAACAUGACGGGUCUAUAUGGGUUUUUUUUUGGACAAGAACGGUCUUUAUGGGUUAAAUGAUGGAUUAUGGAUGGUCCUAUGGAUACUUCAUAUACCACCCUUAUCACCAUUACAAACACAAACACAAACAUCACCACUCACCACUAUAAUUAAAGCAUAUCUACACUAAAAUAAACCUGUAUUUAACUAAAUAGGUACCCAUUGAUCAUCCGCAGUGAUCAGUUUAACAAUAUUUCUAAACAUAGUAAAUAUUGCACAAAUAGCAUUAUUGGUGUCAAUUAUAUUACUCCAUGAUCUCAUAACAAACAGUAUGUGAAUAAAUUGUUUAAAUCACAUUUCUAAGCCUUUGUUAUGAGUGUAAUACACCAGUCCAGUAGAAACUUUACAACUACUAUCACAGUGUGUGUAACCCAGAAUAAAAGGGUUGAAAGAAUCAAGUGUGGCUAAUGCUAUGAAACUAACUACUCAUCAAUGGAUAGUGUAAAAAAAUAAGUGAGAGCUGACUCUCCAUGCCGAUACGGGAAGACUGAUAAAAAAUCUCUUGGACCUGAAAACAGUAGAGCAGAGCAGUAGAGAUGUUAUAAAAACAUCCAACCUUUGGUUACAAUUCAUCUUCGAACAUGUUUACCCCCUACGAACGUGUCAUCUAACCUUUCGUUAAAAAUGUCACAUUUCAAGAUGUUAAACAAAGGACAUAUGCAGCUUCCCACAAACAACUUCUUUUAUAUGCAUAAUCUAGAAGAAAAAGCAAUAUCUUUGUUAAUUUAUAAUUCGUUUCAGUGUAAUUCUAACUAAUGACUUUAUACUUUCACUUACAAGAUAAACAAAUAAAUCUCACCAAAUAUGCACAUGUAAAAUAAAUUCCAUGAAGAAGAUUGUACCUCAAGAUAAAAUGACAAACCCUAAAUACACCGAUGCAGAAAGAAAUAUAAACGAUACCAAUCCCUUGCAUAUAAAGAUUAUUAUGUUACGAAAAAUGUCAAGUUUUAAUCAUCAGUACAAUUACGUUUUUUACCAUUACAUCUAAAAAUCCAAUGUCCAUUUUAACUAAAAUUGUUGACUUAUAUUCAAAAGGUUGUUGACCUGUUUGGGAACAUUAUUCAUUUACGAAAAAUCGGAACUUUAUAGGGCUGGUUUGAAAGUUUAUUCUUUAAAUAACUGAAAUUGUUUUAUGAGAAAAUGUUUUUUGUUCCAAAAGUACUUGAACUGUUUUAUUUAAAAAACACCAGUUAUGUGCUUCUUGUAAAAAGCAUUUAAGUUUUUUUUUUCAAGAUUCACUUAUAUUUUUACUACAGAUUGGUUCCAAAAACGCUUUUGAUCAAUCUGUGAGUUGCAAAAUUAGUAGAAAUCAAUUUUAACAUCGUCAAUAGCAGGAAUCAAAGGAGAGGAAUCCGCCCUUAAGCAACCAAUUGCCUGGACCAACUUGAUACAACUUGGUCCUCUCGCUCCUAAGACCAUCUUCAAAGGAGAUGUCAAAGUUUGAACAUAAAAUUUAAAUUUUGACAGCUUAUGUGGCACUUUGACAAUUUUUAAAGUUUUGUUCUUCAACCGAUAUGUUAAAUUAAAUUAUUAUUUUAUAAAAUAAAUUAUUAAACUAAUUAAAAUUUAAUAAAGGACAUUUAAAGUUUAAUCAGUAAUCUGUUCACCUUUUUUUAUUGAAAAGAAGAAAAAAGUAAGAUAAUUGCAUCGGUCAACUCAACAUUAAUUAUAAUAAAUGAUUAAACUAAUUAAAAAUUAAUAAAAUAGAUUUAAUAAUUAAUAAAAAAACAUUUGAAGCUGCUGUCAAAUUUGACAACAACCUCUUUUGCUGCCAAUCCAUGUCAUCGCCACACAGGAUUUGAUACUUUGGCUGGAGAAUAUUAGUGUGGUCUUUUUUUUUACUAUUAUAACUGAUGUGUACAUUUUGGCAUCUUCUUUAGAGCAAGUCCACCCCUAAGGACUUUGCGCCAGCACCCAGCGUAUUUAUCCACCCAAGUGAACAGUAAUAGACCCCAAUGAACAGUAAUAGGCUAAAGCAGCUCCACCCCUAAAAAUGGACUGGCACCCAGCCCAUCUAAUAUUAUAUUAUUUUAUUCAUAUCAAUUAAUAUUUUAUCAUUUAAUUUAUUUUUUCUUCCUUUCUUUGUCCGGUCCUCACCCUUUUAUUCUCUCUCUCUCUCUCUCUCUCUCUCUCUCUCUCUCUCUCUCUCUCUUUUCCAGCUCACUCCCGUGAGCUCUCUCUCUCUCUCUCUCUCCUUUUUCUCCAUGUUUUCUUCUUCAAAUGAGCACCCAGCACCUGAAAUGGACCUCUUCCCCCAAAAAUGGGAGGUCGCCGUGGAGGUGCUCCACACCAACGGAUGGGAUCUCGCCGGAGCUCCACAUAAACGCUCACAGGCACCUCGUUGUCGUCUCCUCACCGGAGCUCGCCAUGGAGGUGCUCCACACCCACGGAGUCGGAUCUCGCCGUGGAGGUGCUCCACACCAACGCUCCUCGAAAAAUGGACCUCCUCUUCCUCCGCAUUACCCGGCUGGCGUCAGCAUGAGUCAGAUGUACCGGGCAACACCUCAGUCAAUUUUGGACUGGGCUACAGACCAGCUUGCGCUGGGUGCCAGUCAAUUGGGUCGGGUGGAGGGGUUUCACAGGGUGCUGGGCAGUUUUUUCAGCUGGGUGCUGGGCAAAAUGCCCUCCGCUGGAACUGCUCUUAGAGAUUCUCUAAGAACUCAACCACAUCAGAACAUUCACAUGCCAGAUUACUCCCCAUAUAGUAGAGAUAGACCCUGACGAACACAAAGAAAAUUCAACCCAUACACCACUUUAUAAGCACUCUUAACAAUUAAGGUGUAUUAGAUUUUGGCCCUUACAACACAUGAUUAAUGGACACCUUUGUGGGGAAAAAAGAGUGGCUAUGAGUUCCUUAUUCUAAUGAGACAUACAAGGGUAUAUCAAAGAAGAAACGAACUCCAACAAUCAAAUUGACAAAGACAAACUAAUACGAGUGCAAAACCUCUUGGUUCAUUGUGAAAAAAUUGAAGCCUUGUCAUCCAUUUUGAAAUUGACUCCAAAGAUAUGGUUUCUAAAAUCUCUCCAGUUUGAAAUUGACUUUUUUACAAAAAACAUUUGUAGUAAAAGCGUUUUUGCUAAAAGUACUUAUUAAACAUUUUAUCCUCUUGAAGAAGCAUUUUAAAAAAGUUUUUCUAUGACUCAAAAUCACUUAAAACUAUAUUGAUAUGUUUUUCUAGGUUUCUGGGUUGUAUCACAAGUUCCAUCGCUUUUCCAAAACUUGGAUUUCUGGGUUUUUUUGGUUUUAUACAUGAGAUUUUUUCUAUGACAUAGAAUAAGAGCAGGUUAUUUUCAAAUACAAUCGAAAAAAUAUAAAACUAGUUUAAUUGUUUACUUCUUUUUAACUGGGAAGAUGAUUCCUUUCUGGCCUCUGUUCAUUUUUUCUAGGUAAGGGAUAACCAUAAUUUAACUAGCUAGGAAGCUGAUCACUUUGUGCAAUUCAUUUAAAUUUUCCGCAGAACAUUCGGAAAAUCAUAAUGGCCAGUGUCCACGAAGCAUGAGCAUGAGGUUUGUAUUUGUAAAAUCUAAAAAGUAAAUACUGAUUUACUUUUAUCUAUGUACUAAUUAAAAGGAAAUUGGAGGAUACAAGUCUUUGAGCCACUAUCUUCUACAUACAACUAUGGCCUUGCGCAUCGUACAAGUAGAACUAGGCCAUCUAUGUUUUGUUCUGUAACUGCAAUUGGUACUUUGUUGAGCAGUAUUUGAGUUCUCAUGAUCGUCAUCCGUUCUUUCUACAGCAUGAUAAGCGGGAAAAAGAAGAAUAGAAGAAGCGAUUGAUACCACAUUGUUUGCUCGUAGAAUUCUUCAGUUUUUUUUGGCGAUUGUUGAUUUUAACACAAGAAGGGAAAGGAAAACAAAAUUUACUACAAAACCUUAUAUGCUUGAUAUUAAUGGUUUUUUUGUUGUUGUUUUGUUUUUGUUCUGUUAUGAUAGGCAUAGGGCUAACCAAACUUGUAGCCAAACACUAUUUUAACGCCAUAAGGGAUUUUUAGUAUUUUUUUUACCACUUAUUUCACAUCUGGGUGGGUUUUCUUGUCAUGGAGGGAGUUUGUGAAAUGAUUUUGAAACGUCAGGGGUUGUUUGCGUUACUUUCAAAACAUGAUGGGGUUUUCUGAAAACCCGAGAAAUCUCAAGGAGUGUAUAUGUAAUUAACUCAUCUUUCAUUUUUCAUAUAACCAUAUAUAACCCACAUGCUGCAAACUUUUCUCCAACAUUUCCAAAUCACUGUCGUAGAGUAUUUGAUUUUCUUAUUGAAAGUUAGAGACACCUUAUUGCACAUUUACAUGUCUCAAUGAGUAACUCAAUGAUCCAAGCGAUACACAUAAGAAGCUAUGGUGCAGAAUAUACGAAACAAGUCUCUUUCUUAUAUUUAUAUUUGAUUAAUCUUAUAAUUAGUGGUUUGUGAUCCCUGUAAUUAGUUUUAGGACACACAGCAUCCAACACAGGACAUGUCAUUUGUUUAUAGUACAAGGGUAAAAACCAUAGGUCCUCCAUAUAUAAAUAGACAAUUAAUCCACUAAGACAAUUUAAACAUUCAAUAGAGGGCUUAUCAAUCAAGCUCAAUUACCUUGAUCCAUCUAAGCAGCAAAUUGAGUACCUCUGUGCAACCUGCGAUUUCUUCUCAUCAACACUCAGUUCAUUCAUCACAAGCUCAACAAUUUAUCAACGCGAACUCAUCUUGUGGCACUGAGAUUCUUCAUAUAAACAAUGAAUGAUAAUGAAAUGCAACUAUAUAGAUUUAGAUUAAAAUUAAUUUCUUCAAGACACAUUCAAUCUUCAAGAAACCAAUAUUAAAUCCACUCAUACAAUGUAUGUGAAUGGUUGAUUUGAUAUUAACUUUUGAA
RNAcentral lists this long non-coding RNA (22124 nucleotides) under Malus domestica (apple). RNAcentral describes it as "long non-coding RNA (MDOM_LNC017747)". Lineage: Eukaryota; Viridiplantae; Streptophyta; Magnoliopsida; Rosales; Rosaceae. The record is from RNAcentral.